UACGGGGGGUGCAAACGUUGCUCGGAAUUACUGGGCGUAAAGCGCGUGUAGGCGGUUCCGCAAGUCGGGUGUGAAAGCCCAGGGCUCAACCCUGGAAGUGCACUUGAUACUACGGAGCUUGAGUUCUGAAGAGGAGAGCGGAAUUCCCGGUGUAGAGGUGAAAUUCGUAGAUAUCGGGAGGAACACCAGUGGCGAAGGCGGCUCUCUGGGCAGAAACUGACGCUGAGACGCGAAAGCGUGGGGAGCAAACAGG
RNAcentral lists this ribosomal RNA (253 nucleotides) under uncultured bacterium. RNAcentral's name for it is "partial 16S ribosomal RNA". It matches the Rfam family "Bacterial small subunit ribosomal RNA", at positions 524 to 776 of the family's 1533-position model. The record is from RNAcentral.